GAUGAACGCUGGCGGCGUGCUUAACACAUGCAAGUCGAGCGAGUGAGUUCUUCGGAACGAUCUAGCGGCGGACGGGUGAGUAACACGUGGGCAACCUGCCUCAUAGAGGGGAAUAGCCUCCCGAAAGGGAGAUUAAUACCGCAUAAAAUUAUCGAGUGGCAUCACACGAUAAUCAAAGGAGUAAUCCGCUAUGAGAUGGGCCCGCGGCGCAGUAGCUAGUUGGUGAGGUAACGGCUCACCAAGGCGACGAUGCGUAGCCGACCUGAGAGGGUGAUCGGCCAAAUUGGGUCUGAGACACGGUCCAGACUCCGACGGGAGGCAGCAGUGGGGAAUAUUGCACAAUGGGGGAAACCCGGAUGCAGCGACGCCGCGUGAGUGAUGAAGGUCUUCGGAUUGUAAAGCUCUGUCUUUGGGGACGAUAAUGACGGUACCCAAGGAGGAAGCCACGGCUAACUACGUGCCAGCCGCCGCGGUAA
RNAcentral lists this ribosomal RNA (476 nucleotides) under uncultured bacterium. Its description in RNAcentral is "partial 16S ribosomal RNA". It matches the Rfam family "Bacterial small subunit ribosomal RNA", at positions 28 to 523 of the family's 1533-position model. The record is from RNAcentral.